RNAcentral lists this ribosomal RNA (439 nucleotides) under uncultured bacterium. RNAcentral describes it as "partial 16S ribosomal RNA". It matches the Rfam family "Bacterial small subunit ribosomal RNA", at positions 339 to 795 of the family's 1533-position model. The record is from RNAcentral.
CUACAGGUCGCUCCAGUGAGGAAUAUUGCACAAUGGGGGGAACCCUGAUGCAGCAACGCCGCGUGGAGGAUGACGCAUUUCGGUGUGUAAACUCCUUUUAUAUGUCAAGAAAAUGACGGUAGCAUAUGAAUAAGCACCGGCUAACUCCGUGCCAGCAGCCGCGGUAAUACGGAGGGUGCAAGCGUUACUCGGAAUCACUGGGCGUAAAGGACGCGUAGGCGGGCUUGUAAGUCAGGUGUGAAAUCCUACAGCUUAACUGUAGAACUGCACUUGAAACUACGAGCCUAGAGUAUGGGAGGGGGAGAUGGAAUUAGUGGUGUAGGGGUAAAAUCCGUAGAUAUCACUAGGAAUACCUAAAGCGAAGGCGAUCUCCUGGAACAUAACUGACGCUAAGGCGUGAAAGCGUGGGGAGCAAACAGGAUUAGAUACCCUUGUAGUC